AUCAACCACCAGACGCAGCCUCACAGCUGAUCGAGGCAAAUCGGUAUUGCAACUUUAACCGGCAGGAGGCGCCUUAAGAUCAAUUCUUGACUCGUCAGCAGCAAGCAGCAUGUUUACAUACAUCUUGAGAUAUUCUUGUGUUCAGCAGAAGAAAGAAAGUCAUACACCUCUGGGAUGGCAUGAGGUGCACAGCCACAGGAGAAAUUCAUACGGGUUUUGGAACAACAUUCAUCAUAUUUUUUAAAAAAAUCCCAGGUUAAAUGUGUUGAGAAAUAAAGCAUUAUUAUCAUG
Molecule: long non-coding RNA, 291 nt
Organism: Myxocyprinus asiaticus (Chinese sucker)
Lineage: Eukaryota; Metazoa; Chordata; Actinopteri; Cypriniformes; Catostomidae
Exons: 3
Source: RefSeq, a predicted model, not a curated record